RNAcentral lists this long non-coding RNA (1156 nucleotides) under Oryzias javanicus (javanese ricefish). RNAcentral's name for it is "lncRNA (ENSOJAG00000009258.1)". The record is from RNAcentral. Lineage: Eukaryota; Metazoa; Chordata; Actinopteri; Beloniformes; Adrianichthyidae.
UUUUCAGAAAGCUGAUUCCUUCUUCCCACCUCGGCUUGGUAAGAGUUUUUCUGUGAGAGAUGUUCUUGUUCAGCAGAGAUGAUCAGAGAUGAUCAGAGAUGAUCAGAGAUGAUCAGAGAUGAUCAGAGAUGAUCAAAGCUCAUGCUCAGGUGCAGUAGUUAGCAGAUAUUUGCAGACUCAGGUGUCUUCAGCAGAAGCACGCAGAUGUUUGAAGUUCUUUGGAGAUAUUAAAAGACUUUUGCAGAAGUUUGUAGAUUUAUAAACAUUAGCAGAUGUUUGCAGGUGUUUACAGAUGUUUACAGGCUUUUGGUUCAUUUAGACUUUAGUACAUGUUAGUAGAUGAAAGGAGGACAUGCAUGAUGACCUGUAAACAUCAUUAGAUGUUUUCAGACGUGUGUGAAGGUCUUAAAGAGUUCAGACACACCAAGAACAUCUGCUCUACAGGUUUGUCUCAGUCUAGAGGAACUUCUUGUUGUUGUUGAUGACUAACCUGCUUAAAUAAGAGAAAUGAUCAUCAGUCUCUUCUCCUGUUUCAUCAGCUCUCAGCACAGACCAACCGUCUAGUUUUCUUUCUGUUUUUCUGAGAGCAGUGACCUUUUCUUUUGCAGCUCUGCAUAACAGCACGAGGCCUCGUUCCCCCUCUGCUGUUGGAGUCCACAGCUUUCCUGGAUCCCACCACUCCUUUGGAAGCAGGGUUAGAAACGACAGUGCCCGGCGGGCGGAGCGUCCCGGUCCACCCCUCUCUAAACCCCCGCUGAACUCCACCCACUCCACCUCCGAGAACGGCUUGUCUGCUGACCAGACCACCAAGGCCCCCUCUAGUGUCCCUGUGAAGCCUCCUCACUCUGAGGGUAAUGUCCUCCUUUGACUCCAGCUUCUGUUUGCAGACCCCCACCACCACAGACCAGGAGGUGGAGUUUCUCCUGAAUUGAACUGUGUCUUCUUUCUGCUCGACCUUUUCUUCCCACACAGCUCUCGUCAGGUCACAGGUGGACUCGUCCCUGCUGAGGUCCGCUCUGGCCAAUGAGAGGGCCAAAGUUAACACCCGGGGUAAUUCUUUGACCUCACGCUUCCUCAGUCUUGCUCUCAGAUGGGGCUGGGUCUGUCUGCUGCUGCCGGAGCUUCCUCAGUCAUCUCCUCAUCCAGGGUCUGCAUG